GGGGAUGUAACUCAGUGGCAGAGCCCUUGCUUAGUAUGCAUGAAGUCCUGGGUUCAACUCCUGUACCCCCU
Molecule: transfer RNA, 71 nt
Filed under: Ictidomys tridecemlineatus (thirteen-lined ground squirrel)
Lineage: Eukaryota; Metazoa; Chordata; Mammalia; Rodentia; Sciuridae
Description: Spermophilus tridecemlineatus (thirteen-lined ground squirrel) tRNA
Rfam family: tRNA
About the family: Transfer RNA (tRNA) molecules are approximately 80 nucleotides in length. Their secondary structure includes four short double-helical elements and three loops (D, anti-codon, and T loops).
Source: Rfam by way of RNAcentral